This is a long non-coding RNA of Salmo salar (Atlantic salmon), 2259 nucleotides long. RefSeq annotates it as transmembrane protein 26. The record is from RefSeq and is a predicted model, not a curated record. NCBI's taxonomy places the organism in Eukaryota, Metazoa, Chordata, Actinopteri, Salmoniformes, Salmonidae.
GAGGCGUGUCUAAACGUUCACUUUUUCACCGGUGUGUUGAAGCGGCUGAAAGCGAGCAGACUGGAAACAUGCCCCAUUAAUGUGGCGGCUGAAUUUAUUUGGAUAGGAUUUCUCCCACCCAGACAAAAAAAAGAUGAUAGUGAAGUUUAUCUGUGCGGUUAUUACCCGGUCCCUAUUCCUCCUCAUCUCUCUGAUAGGAGUAUGGAGAGUGGUCUGGGUUAAGAAUAAUGCUCUUUAUUGGUUCUUAACGAUCCUUUAUCUUCCUCUGGUGGUCGAGAUGAUUUUAACCCUGAAGAGAAAACAAUUACAGGAUUAUAAAUGGUUUUCUCCUGCCAUCUUCUUGUUCCUCAUCAGUAUCAUACCAUCUCUAUGGAUUCUAGAGUUACAUCAUCAAGAGAACAAAGCUACUGAUUCCAGGUGUGACAAACGGGAUUCAUCUGAAAACAUAAAGAGCCUGAUAAACAUGUGGAGAGGGAAUUCCACCAAUGGCAGCAAGACGUUAUUCCAGGGUUCAGUAUCUCUGUUGUCGUCAGUGUGUGCUAACGACAGGAUCCUAGGCCUCCACCAGACCCUGUUGAUCCUGCUGGUUAUAGGGAAGUGGUUGCUUCCUGUAGCAGGAGGGGUGACCAGGGAUGAACUUUCCCAGCUCCUCCUCAUCUUCGUAGGCACAGCCGCUGACAUCCUGGAGUUCACCUCAGAGACGCUGUUGGAUGUCAAUCCCAGCAUGGUGUACGUCAUCCUAGGAGUCUGGACGUGGAGCAUGAUCCAGUUUCCUCUCCACCUGUCAGUGUCUACCUCCAGACCUGAUGAAUAUUCAGAGGGGGAUCAGGGUGUGUCUCUGCUGGCCAGACUAAGGACAGAUAUCUGGAGCAUGGUGGAGAGCCUCUUCAUCCAGGACGGACCCUUCCUGGUGGUCCGCCUCACCCUCGUCCUCCACUUCCACGUCAUACACCAGAUGCUCAUCUUCUUCGCCAUCAAGAACUUCCUGGUGGUCGUUCUGAACUUCUACCGUCUGUUUGUCAUCUACACCGACUACAAGGCUUCAGGUUGAUCUGAGGUUAUAAUAAGAUGAAAAUUCAGCUGUAAACUGGAACUGAUAAAUAUCUCUGGGUUAGGGUGGGUAGAUGGCUGACAGCAGAGGUGUCUGUCUGAACACUGGGUAAUAUCACUGGGUUAGGGUGGGUAGAUGGCUGACAGCAGACGUGUCUGUCUGAACACUGGGUAAUAUCUCUGGGUUAGGGUGGGUAGAUGGCUGACAGCAGAGGUGUCUGUCUGAACACUGGGUAAUAUCUCUGGGUUAGGGUGGGUAGAUGGCUGACAGCAGACGUGUCUGUCUGAACACUGGGUAAUAUCUCUGGGUUAGGGUGGGUAGAUGGCUGACAGCAGACGUGUCUGUCUGAACACUGGGUAAUAUCUCUGGGUUAGGGUGGGUAGACGGCUGACAGCAGACGUGUCUGUCUGGAUUAUUAACAGCCACAGCUACGGACAAAUUAUUAACAUAAGAUUGUUCAUGUUUGUUUGAUCUCAAACUAGAUCUAUGGGUGGAACCCUUUAAAUAAAAUACAAUUGGUCAGAUACACAUGGUUAGCCAGAUGUUAUUGGUCACGUGGUUAGCCAGACGUUAUUGGUCACGUGGUUAGCCAGAUGUUAUUGGUCACGUGGUUAGCCAGAUGUUAUUGGUCACGUGGUUAGCAGAUGUUAUUGGUCAGAUACACAUGGUUAGCAGAUGUUAUUGGUCACGUGGUUAGCAGAUGUUAUUGCAGGUGUAGCGAAAUGCUUGUGUUUCUAGCUCCAACAGAGCAGUAAUAUCUAACAAGUAAUACCUAACAAUUUCACAACAAAUACCCAAUACACACAAAUCUAAGUAAAGUGUCAUGUCCUGACCAGUAUAGGGGUUAUUUGUUAUUAUAGUUUGGUCAGGACGUGGCAGAGGGUAUUUGUUUUAUGUGGUUCAGGGUGUGUGUGUAUGUAGAGGGGUGUUAGAUUUAUGUGUUCCGGGGUUUUCGGUUUAUGUUCUUGUUUUGUAUUCUAGGGUUUCUAUGUUGUGUAUUUCUUUGUUUGCCUUGUGUGGCUCUCAAUCAGGAACAGCUGUACAUCGUUGUUUCUGAUUGAGAGUCAGACUUAAGGAGCUUGUUUUCCACCUGUCCCUUUGUGGGUAGUUGUCUUUGCACUGCUGUUAGUAUAGCCUGCGAAACUGUCAUUCUGUCGCCUCUUUGUCUUCUUGUUUUUUCGUGUUCACUAUUAAAUAAAUAAUGAUGA